ACAACAGGGAAGAAAAAAACAUUGCGACCUAAUUAUGUUUUCUUCUUCUCUCUGUUCUUCAUAUCCAUUAUUAAGUUUCUCUGUAGGGUUUUCUUUUUUGAGUUUCAUUCUUCAAGGUGUCUACCAGCUCCGCUCAUCUUCCAAGUUCUAUCUUCUGAAUCCACAUCCAAACCCUCAUCAAGGUUGCUCCUCUACCCUAGAUUAAACAUUAGACCUCUGUGAUUAAACCCAAAUCAAGGUUCUGUUGAUCCUUAAACGAAAUCAAACGAAAUCAAAAUUAUUUGUUUUUCUAAUUUCCAUGGUUCUGUUAUUAGUUUAGUGUAGGGUUUUCUUUUUUCAGUUUCAUUCUUCAAGGUAUCUACCGGCUCUGCUCAUCUUCCAAGUUCUCUCUUCUGAAUCCACAUUCAAACCCUCAUCAAGGUUUGAUUUACAGGAUAUAUAUUUGGCUGGGCUAAAAUUAGGUUUGGCAAAAUAGGGACGCACAGAUUGUUACCGAAAUUAAUAAAUUAGGUUUUGUUUGCUUCCAGGUGAUAAAGUCUGUUAUGAGUUGAAUUCAAUUGGAGUCGAAUCUACAAUGGCCUUCACCAGUGCACCUUUCAUAGAAAUUGCCAACUAGGCGUGGGAUCGUGUCAAUUUUUGCAUACUAGCAGUAAUUAUUGUGCUAAGCCCAUAGCAAAUAAUUUUGUUUAUGGAGCUUAGCAAUAUUACUACGAAAUGAUAGAAGAUUUUGGCUGUAAGUUACAAGGAAAAGCUUUGCUCGAGAAUAUGUGAAUUGACGAAUUAAUCAAAGGACUGGAAGUGAAAAGGGCGACAAGACUAUGUUCCUAUGACUGGAAGUGAAUGGAGUACAGUUCCCUGUAGAUGCUUACGUCCUUCUAGAAACUGCUGUUAAAGCUGAUAAUGGAGCCAGGUUCUUCAAUUAUAUCAGACAUCCUCCUAAAAGUGUAUCAGACAAUAGUCGAUACCAUACAUGACUUCCUUCUCAUCAGGAGGUCUAAUUGGUCUUGAGCAUAAAUUUUUCAUUGAACUAUUUAGCAGUUAUGAACUACUUUUCAAUUAUCCCUCUUAUUGUUGCUAUUGAUUUGCAGUCGAUGGCUCUAAUGGAUUGUGUUUUUCAAUUGCAAGGUGAUAUUACAAAUGCUUGAACAGCUGUAAGAUGUUGGCAGGGUUCUCUGUUGAAUGUGACCUCAGUAUGAGAGCGAGCAAGGUGGUAAGGAUGAUAUUCUUAGAAGAGGAAGGGAAUAUAGUUGAUCUAGAAGUAGAAGUCCAGUGCAUCGACGAAGUAGACCGAGUCCGGAUAAUGGACCGGAAAACAGUAAAGUUUAUGACAGAUAAGGGACCAUCGAGCAACACCAUGGGCGAUAUACCACUCGGUCACCAGUUUGCUGCUAAUUCAAAUGGUUGUUCACCAAUUCGUCGCUCACCUGUUUGUCGUGCCCGUUCCCCUGCUGGAAGUUCAAACGUUCAUCGAUUCGCAACUGGAUGCUCUCCCGUUUUCUGUUCAGCUUAUACUCGCUCAUUUAUUCCCAUUCCCAGCGUUUUUGUUUCAGGGUUUUAGGAAGAAAAGCAUAAUCAGAAAGGUGAUGAGGAGGAAUAAAAGAAAAAGAUGUUGGACGGGUUCUGAUGUAUAACUAUGGUGGGUGUUGCGACAGAAUACUUUUUAUUUGGAUACUCGGAAGAUGGCUUAUUUUAUAUUUACCAGGUUGGCUAAAUUUUUUUUAGAAUUGAGUUCCAUUCUUAUGAGGGCUUUCCGUAAUGACACAAAUAUUGACAUCACGAAACAUGUACCACUUCAUAGUUGUUGGAGGAUUCAAGCGAAAUUAAGGGAUUUAUUUUUCUUUGCCCACUUUGCUUACAAGCGCUACGAGGGUGUUUGAUUUCUAUUUUAUUACUGUUAAUGUAACAGUUGGAUAACUUGCUUAAAACCCUGGGGUUUAUACAGAAGAAAACAGAUUCACAGAACAAUUCUACUUUUGCGUCAGCACGAAAGAGUUACAUUGAAACUUGCAAAAAUUAUGUCACGUUAACCCACAUUUUGUAGAUUAAUUUAUUAAUGAAUGAGAAUUUAUUGGA
This is a long non-coding RNA of Papaver somniferum (opium poppy), 2073 nucleotides long. RefSeq lists it as uncharacterized. The transcript is spliced from 8 exons. The record is from RefSeq and is a predicted model, not a curated record. NCBI's taxonomy places the organism in Eukaryota, Viridiplantae, Streptophyta, Magnoliopsida, Ranunculales, Papaveraceae.